This 253-nucleotide ribosomal RNA is filed under the name uncultured bacterium. RNAcentral describes it as "partial 16S ribosomal RNA". It matches the Rfam family "Bacterial small subunit ribosomal RNA", at positions 524 to 776 of the family's 1533-position model. The record is from RNAcentral.
UACGAAGGGGGCUAGCGUUGUUCGGAAUUACUAGGCGUAAAGCGCACGUAGGCGGAUAUUUAAGUCAGGGGUGAAAUCCCGGGGCUCAACCCCGGAACUGCCUUUGAUACUGGGUAUCUCGAGUCCGAGAGAGGUGAGUGGAAUUCCGAGUGUAGAGGUGAAAUUCGUAGAUAUUCGGAGGAACACCAGUGGCGAAGGCGGCUCACUGGCUCGGUACUGACGCUGAGGUGCGAAAGCGUGGGGAGCAAACAGG